This 253-nucleotide ribosomal RNA is filed under the name uncultured bacterium. RNAcentral's name for it is "partial 16S ribosomal RNA". It matches the Rfam family "Bacterial small subunit ribosomal RNA", at positions 524 to 776 of the family's 1533-position model. The record is from RNAcentral.
UACGUAGGGUGCAAGCGUUGUCCGGAAUUAUUGGGCGUAAAGAGCCCGUAGGCGGUCUGUCGCGUCGGCUGUGAAAUCCCGGAGCUCAACUCCGGGCCUGCAGUCGAUACGGGCAGACUGGAGUUCGGCAGGGGAGACUGGAAUUCCUGGUGUAGCGGUGAAAUGCGUAGAUAUCGUUUGGAACGCCGAUGGUGAAAACAGGUCGCUGGGGCUGUGCUGACGCUGAGACACGAAAGCCAGGGGAGCGAACGGG